CGCGUAGGAAUCUACCUUUCGGUGGGGGAUAGCCCGGAGAAAUCCGGAUUAAUACCGCAUACGACCUAAGGGUGAAACGGGGCCACUAUUUAUAAGCUUCGACCGAAAGAUGAGCCUGCGUUAGAUUAGCUAGUUGGUAAGGUAAUGGCUUACCAAGGCGACGAUCUAUAGCUGUUCUGAGAGGAUGAUCAGCCACACUGGGACUGAGACACGGCCCAGACUCCUACGGGAGGCAGCAGUGGGGAAUAUUGGACAAUGGGCGAAAGCCUGAUCCAGCAAUACCGCGUGUGUGAAGAAGGG
Molecule: ribosomal RNA, 300 nt
Filed under: uncultured Oceanospirillales bacterium
Lineage: Bacteria; Pseudomonadati; Pseudomonadota; Gammaproteobacteria; Oceanospirillales
Description: bacterial SSU rRNA
Rfam family: Bacterial small subunit ribosomal RNA
Source: RNAcentral